This 411-nucleotide ribosomal RNA is filed under the name Triticum aestivum (bread wheat). RNAcentral describes it as "partial small subunit ribosomal RNA". Lineage: Eukaryota; Viridiplantae; Streptophyta; Magnoliopsida; Poales; Poaceae. The record is from RNAcentral.
AUGGCGAUCCCGCAGAGGCCCUUCUUAUCCUUGACGUCGCGCUCCAUGCGGAUGUACCCCCGGCGCAGUACCGACGCGUCGGGCCAUGGACGCCAAGGCGGUUCGGGUCCUCCUCCUCCUCUUCCUUCUCCCGAUCCUCGUCGCACUCUUCCGGCACUCCGGCCCUGCUCGGCGUCAAGGCCGAGCCCGCGGCGGAGUCGCCUCUCGGCUGGCGCACUCGCAGCGCCGGCAUCGUCAUCAACGAGGGCGGCCGGCGCGCCUCCUCCUCGUCGGCUCCUCCGCGCUUCGUCAAACCAGUGGCUUCUUCAUGUAUUUUUGAAGGCAAUGUCCCAGACGACACCCAUUUCAGCAAUCACCGAUGGGGACGGUGCAAUGGCUAAAGCACAUGAAUACCACAAACAACAUGCCUGA